AGGGCUCCCACAGAACUUGCUCCCUGCGAGGAACUGGGGGUAGCUGACCCCCGUUAUCUCGAGGCCUUGGCUGAAGCGGGGAUAGGAAGAAUUCCACCUUCAACAUUGUGAUACAUGCAGCAAGUAUGAGGAGAACGCCCAGCCAGGUCCAAUUUCAGCAGCACAGAUUGACUGCCUUUGAAUGACUCUGAACCACUAAAGUGGUGCCUGAACACAAGGCGUUUAAGACCUGAACUUGGGGACAGAGGCUGACAUGUGCCCAUGGCUUAUAAUCUGGUGGUGAUGGAAUUACAGGCGUGGUGCAGGCUGCCGGCCGGGAGAAAGCACAGAGGAGGAGACGAGCACAGAAGCACCAGGAGAAGGCAGUUCAGCGCCAGCCUGGACCCCCUCCCCGUCUCCUCCAGUGCAGGGGCUCCCCGUGCGUCGUGUGUACCCACGGGCACGUAUGUGCCCUCGGGAUAUGGAGCCAGCGGGGUAGACCUGCUAUCAAACUGAAGUUUGGCAACAAAAGCAAAAGUGCUGACAAUACUAGCCGCCAGGUCCUGGGCAUCUCCAGUUCCAGGCACCGCUCUUUGUCGCAAGGGCUCUAACCCCACAGGACAAGGAGUGUUAUGCUCGUCUUACAGAGGAAGCAGCUGGAUAUGGUCAGUCGCUUGCCCAGAUCACACAGCACCGAAGUCACAGGGCUGGAGUGAAAUGUGAAUGCCUCUAAUUCCCAAAGCCAAGUUCAUGCUGGUGAGCCCUGGUACAGAAGGCCUCCCAACAGGGUUUGCCACGCUCGGAAAAAUGGGACUAUGGAGAAAGAACAACUUUCGACAAGGUCUAAGAAAAUGAUAGAACACAGUCCAGAAAACAUUUCCAAUUUGGGGCUAGGACAGAGUGGACACGCAUCUCCCGAUUAGUCCCAGUAAGUACAGCAAAAUCUCUGGACCUUAUAUGUGAGACAAACACAGAAAGACUCUGAAAGGCAGAGAGAAAAGCCAGACCAGCUAGAUGUGGUGGUGAGUUCAUACACCUUGAACCACAUCCUGGAGAAGCCAGCAACCCAGGAAUGCCAACGGGCACAGGUGCAAAAGUCCCAAGAACAGCCUGCUCUCUCUGGCCACAGGGACCCCCUAGCAGGACAGAGUACUUUGACACAGUCACGGACCCAUGCCAUCCAAACGCAUGGAGAAAUGCAUGGCCUCACCCCUACCCCACCAGGAAGGCCAAGACCAGAAUGUUCACCACCACCUAGUGGGAAGAAGGUGGUCAGGGGAGGCCCAGCAGAGCUGGUACCAUCACGUGCACCUGGCAGUGACGAGAGCCUGGCUAACUCAGUUUGUCGAAACGGUAAAGGCAAACGGCCCGUGGGGAGACUGCAAGUCAAAGACAGGCUGCUGAUGCAGAAAUUGCAAAUGAGACCCAGAACCCCAUAACAGAAUAGUCAGAAUAGCCAGGUUAUCAUUAAAAAAGUUACUCAUCAUACCAACGACCAGGAAAAUCUCCGUUUGAAUGAGAAAAUACACCCAGGAUAUAUGAUACCAAGAUGACAGAGAUGUUAGAAUUAUCUGGCAAGGAUUUUUUAAGCAGCCAUCAAAACAAAAACAAAAACAAACAACAACAACAACAACAAAACAAAAAACCACCCUGGAUCAACGAACAAUUACAAACACACUUGAGACAAAUGAGAAAAAAGAAACUCUCGGCAAAGAAAGAGAAGACACGAUGAAGAGCCACGUCGGGAUUUUGGAACUGAAAAAUAUGAUCAUCCAAAUGAAAGACUCAGUGGGGCCUCGGCAUCAGAAUGGAGAGGACAGAGAAAGAACCAGUGUACUUGAAGGUGGGGUGACAGAAGUCACCCAGUCUGAGCAGCAGAGAGGAAGUAGACUGGAGUGAAGGAGCAGGCAGAUCAGAACGUCAGGGACCUGAGGCCAGAACGAGACAUCACAUUCCUGUCACGGCCCUGGGGUGG
This is a long non-coding RNA of Felis catus (domestic cat), 1954 nucleotides long. RefSeq lists it as uncharacterized. The transcript has 3 exons. The record is from RefSeq and is a predicted model, not a curated record. Lineage: Eukaryota; Metazoa; Chordata; Mammalia; Carnivora; Felidae.